This 425-nucleotide ribosomal RNA is filed under the name uncultured bacterium. RNAcentral describes it as "partial 16S ribosomal RNA". It matches the Rfam family "Bacterial small subunit ribosomal RNA", at positions 359 to 776 of the family's 1533-position model. The record is from RNAcentral.
GAAUCUUCCACAAUGGGCGAAAGCCUGAUGGAGCGACGCCGCGUGAGUGAAGAAGNUUNNCGGAUNGNAAAACUCUGUUGUAANNNNNGAAAAAGUACANUAGUAACUGGCUGUACCGUGACGGUACCGUAUUAGAAAGCCACGGCUAACUACGUGACAGCAGCGGCGGUAAUACGUAGGUGGCAAGCGUUGUCCGGAAUUAUUGGGCGUAAAGCUCGCGAAGGCGGUCCUUUAAGUCUGAUGUGAAAGCCCACGGCUCAACCGUGGAGGGUCAUUGGAAACUGGGGGACUUGAGUGCAGAAGAGGAAAGUGGAAUUCCAAGUGUAGCGGUGAAAUGCGUAGAGAUUUGGAGGAACACCAGUGGCGAAGGCGACUUUCUGGUCUGUAACUGACGCUGAGGCGCGAAAGCGUGGGGAGCAAACAGG